CCUACGGGCGGCAGCAGUGGGGAAUAUUGGUCAAUGGGCGCAAGCCUGACCCAGCAACGCCGCGUGAAGGAAGAAGGCCCUCGGGUUUUAAACUUCUUUUAUCAGGGACGAAACAAAUUACGGUACCUGCUGAAUAAGCCACGGCUAACUACGUGCCAGCAGCCGCGGUAAUACGUAGGUGGCAAGCGUUAUCCGGAUUUACUGGGUGUAAAGGGGGUGUAGGCGGGAGAGCAAGUCAGACGUGAAAUUCCAGGGCUCAACCCUGGAACUGCGUUUGAAACUGUUCUUCUUGAGUGAUGGAGAGGCAGGCGGAAUUCGGUGUGUAGCGGUGAAAUGCGUAGAUAUAAGGAGGAACACCAGUGGCGAAGGCGGCCUGCUGGACAGUAACUGACGCUGAGGCGCGAAAGCGUGGGGAGCAAACAGGAUUAGAUACCCCAGUAGUC
Molecule: ribosomal RNA, 443 nt
Filed under: uncultured bacterium
Lineage: Bacteria
Description: partial 16S ribosomal RNA
Rfam family: Bacterial small subunit ribosomal RNA
Source: RNAcentral